GACGAACGCUGGCGGCGUGCUUAACACAUGCAAGUCGAACGCUGAAGCUCAGCUUUUGUUGGGUGGAUGAGUGGCGAACGGGUGAGUAACACGUGAGUAACCUGCCCCCUUCUUUGGGAUAACGCUCGGAAACGGGUGCUAAUACUGGAUAUUCACUGGUCUUCGCAUGGGGGUUGGUGGAAAGGGUUUUUCUGGUGGGGGAUGGGCUCGCGGCCUAUCAGCUUGUUGGUGGGGUGAUGGCCUACCAAGGCUUUGACGGGUAGCCGGCCUGAGAGGGUGACCGGUCACAUUGGGACUGAGAUACGGCCCAGACUCCUACGGGAGGCAGCAGUGGGGAAGAUUGCACAAUGGGCGCAAGCCUGAUGCAGCGACGCCGCGUGAGGGAUGGAGGCCUUCGGGUUGUGAACCUCUUUCGCUCAUGGUCAAGCCGCAACAAUGGUUGUGGUGAGGGUAGUGGGUAAAGAAGCGCCGGCUAACUACGUG
This 483-nucleotide ribosomal RNA is filed under the name uncultured bacterium. Its description in RNAcentral is "partial 16S ribosomal RNA". It matches the Rfam family "Bacterial small subunit ribosomal RNA", at positions 28 to 507 of the family's 1533-position model. The record is from RNAcentral.